RNAcentral lists this ribosomal RNA (676 nucleotides) under uncultured bacterium. RNAcentral's name for it is "bacterial SSU rRNA". It matches the Rfam family "Bacterial small subunit ribosomal RNA", at positions 153 to 847 of the family's 1533-position model. The record is from RNAcentral.
GAAACGAACGCUAAUACCGCAUAAUGUCAGAGGACGGCAUCGUCUUUUGACCAAAGAUUUAUCGCUGAAAGAUGGGCUCGCGGCCGAUUAGGUAGUUGGUGAGAUAAUAGCCCACCAAGCCGACGAUCGGUAGCCGGACUGAGAGGUUGAACGGCCACAUUGGGACUGAGACACGGCCCAGACUCCUACGGGAGGCAGCAGUGGGGGAUAUUGCACAAUGGGGGAAACCCUGAUGCAGCGACGCCGCGUGAGGGAAGACGGCCUUCGGGUUGUAAACCUCUGUCUUCGGGGACGAAUAAUGACGGUACCCGAGGAGGAAGCCACGGCUAACUACGUGCCAGCAGCCGCGGUAAUACGUAGGUGGCAAGCGUUGUCCGGAAUUACUGGGUGUAAAGGGAGCGUAGGCGGGGAGGCAAGUUGAAUGUCUAAACUAUCGGCUCAACUGAUAGUCGCGUUCAAAACUGCCACUCUUGAGUGCAGUAGAGGUAGGCGGAAUUCCUAGUGUAGCGGUGAAAUGCGUAGAUAUUAGGAGGAACACCAGUGGCGAAGGCGGCCUACUGGGCUGUAACUGACGCUGAGGCUCGAAAGCGUGGGUAGCAAACAGGAUUAGAUACCCUGGUAGUCCACGCCGUAAACGAUGAUUGCUAGGUGUGGGGGGACUGACCCCUUCCGUGCC